GGAGGCCAGGCACCCAGUGCACAGGCCAGUGCACAGAGCGGAGACCCUGGGAGCUGCACAAGGCAGCUCAGGUCUGCAACCCCUGGUGUGAAGCCAGGAACUCAGUGCUGUCACAACCCAAAGUUGUGAUUUUUGUUUGUGUGUGCGCUUCGGCACCGCUAAAUUAUUUUCCCGCUAUUUGUCGCUUUCUUUGCAUGGUAGAGUUCUCUGCUGCGAGAGAGAACUCUGGUGCAAUGGGGGAUUUCCUGCCAAAUUACAGCUUCUUUGCAGGGUGCAUUUCUUUUGCAUACGAGUGAUACACGCUGCAAAGGAGUUCCUGCCAUUUGUAUUCGGAUUCGCGCCAUAUUAUUGGCCAAUUCCAAAUGUAGGCACACGUGGCGGCUAGCGAUUGGCUUGCUAGCCAUAGAAAAGGCUUGGGUAGUUUCCGCCCAAGCCGGAGGAGGGAGGAAAAGAGAGAGACUUCGUGUGAAGCGCUGCGGACCCUCAUGGACCCAACGCGCCUCCCCUAAGCAGGCAAUAGAGGCAGUAGAACCGAACCUAUGGGGCUUUCGCUUCUAGCCUCUCCCCGUCGCCGAUCGCAAUCCCAGACGUAUCCCUUUCCUGUAACUUCGGACCAGCAGAGCCUAAGCAACUCCGGGGAACCUUUCGAACCCCAAACCGAACCCGCGGAGCCUGAACAGCUCCGUGGGAGCAAUCGAAUUUGUCAUGUUCCUCUAGCAAGGAUCUAAGCGGGAGCUGUGCCUGGAAACCUGUCCAGCCUACACCAAUACCAUCUUUGGGUAUCAACUGAUCAUCAACCCCUUGCUUCGGGCUGCCUGAAGGGGUGCAAUCUUUCAGCCUUUAUCUGCAGAACAUAGCAAGAUAUGAUAUUGUAUAUUUGUAUAUGUUUAUGAAUAUCAAUUUCCUUUAAAUUCUGUAUAUAUUAAUACAUCUGUAUAUGAUUAAG
Molecule: long non-coding RNA, 946 nt
Organism: Alligator mississippiensis (American alligator)
Lineage: Eukaryota; Metazoa; Chordata; Crocodylia; Alligatoridae
Exons: 2
Source: RefSeq, a predicted model, not a curated record